Cucurbita moschata (crookneck pumpkin) is the source of this 161-nucleotide long non-coding RNA. RefSeq lists it as uncharacterized. The transcript has 3 exons. The record is from RefSeq and is a predicted model, not a curated record. NCBI's taxonomy places the organism in Eukaryota, Viridiplantae, Streptophyta, Magnoliopsida, Cucurbitales, Cucurbitaceae.
AGAAAAGAGAGGAAGAGGGAAGCGUGGGAUUGAUGAGUGGAUUAUUAGAGGAUGUGGAAGCGUAUUAGGGCCUUGAUUAGGUUUUAAAAAGGGAAGAAAAACGAAGAAUAGUGAUUAGCGAAAAACCCAGAAAACAGAGGAGGAAAUUUUUGAGAAUUCGA